GACGAACGCUGGCGGCGUGCUUAACACAUGCAAGUCGAACGAAGUGGCGAACGGGUGAGUAUUACGUGGGUAACCUGCCCUCCUUUUUGGGAUAAGCCUUGGAUACGGGGUCUAAUACCGAAUUCAGGGGGAUGGGCUGGCGGCCUAUGAGCUUGUUGGUGGGGUGAUGGCUUACCAAGGCGGCGAUGGGUAGCCGGCCUGAGAGGGUGACCGGGAACAGGGGAACGGAGAUACGGCCCAGGCGCGUACGAGGGGGAGCAGUGGGGAAAAGGGCAGAAUGGGCGAAAGCCUGAUGCAGCGACGCGGAGUGGGGGAUGAAGGCUUUCAGGUUGUUAGCGUCUGUAGCUAGCGAACGGGUAGGUGGAGAAGAAGCGCCGGCUAACUACGUGCCAGCAGCCGCGGUAAUAC
RNAcentral lists this ribosomal RNA (408 nucleotides) under uncultured bacterium. RNAcentral's name for it is "partial 16S ribosomal RNA". It matches the Rfam family "Bacterial small subunit ribosomal RNA", at positions 28 to 526 of the family's 1533-position model. The record is from RNAcentral.